CUUUUCUUUCAACGAAAAAUGUCUAUUUCUUAAGACUGGAAUUUGAGGAUUUAAAAUCGCUUUGCGCUCGUUUUAUUUUAUCUUCUGCUGGAGAAAGGCUUUAUUUAAUAAACAGUGAAAAGGAUCAACUUCUCAAAUCAUAAUUGGCUCCAACAGAUCUAAAUAAAACACGAAUAUUUGUCCAACACGCUUUCCUAAGCCAUUCAUCUAAUUGCCGGAAAACCUGUAUUCUGGCUUUGUCGGUGAAUUCACGGAGGAAAGUUUUCAGGCGCAGAACGCGCGGAAGCGGUUCGCCGCGUCGCGUUGUCGGAGUCGAAUGGCUGUAGUUGACUCUCGACGCUCUACAACCCCUGUCUACAGCGCUACUAGCAGUCCUUGUGAUAUUAUUUGUCGACUUUUCACUAUAAACUUAUUAAUUAUCAUUCACAGAGGGCACGCGGGCCGUCACAUAAUAGCAAAGUUACUACAUUUCAAAAGUUUUCGUCUCUAGUUCGGGCUUAUUUGUGUUGUGAUAUUUAUAGUCUCAGGUCUCUAAGCACCAAUUGAUUAAUAAGUUGGAUCUGCUGGAUUUAUAACAAAAAUAGCCUAUUUAAUUAAUACUACUAUUGAAUUUCAAUAUUUUUCAAAGUAAAGUAGUGAAAAGCUAACAUAAUCUAAUGAAAAUCUAAAAUAAUAUCUACCUACAUACAUUAAAAAGAAAUUCUUAUUUUUAUAUGCAUAAAACUUUAUUUUUAAUACUUUUGUAGCCCAACGAGCAUAAGGCCCAUCUGAUGGUUAGUGGUUGCUGUAGCUUACGAACAUCAUCAAUAACAGAAGAGGAAACUUGAAACGGCUGCCUUUUUAUGAACUUCUACUAAAAAUUUUGUUUAUUUUUGGUCGUUUAUUGAUUAAAUUAAAAAAUAUAUUUUUCAUUAUGGUAAAUAACAUUUGAUCCAGGAAACGCCGCGUAUAUCUGCUACAAUAAAUACGGCAGAGUGCUCAGUAUUUCUUUCGUUAUUAUACGCACCAAUGAAUCCGCAAGCUGACGGCAGUUUAUAAACCGGAAUGUGACAAACUACUCUCUUUAUCCCGGGAAAAUGCAACGUGUUUCAUUUGUUAAAAAUUAAUCGCGAGUUAAGCCGCGGGGUACGUCUAGUUUUUAGAUAAAUAUACAUAGUAUCAAUGAAAUUACCUAAGUAAAGGAGAAUGUUCUUUAUCAUAUUGUAGUGAAAUAUCAUCAUUUUAAAAUAACUAAAUUGCUCAUUAUUUCAUAUUAAAUAUAUUUAACAUCUAUAAACAUGUUAACAACAACUAUAAACCUUUUAAACGAAAUAUAAUUUUCAUAAAAUG
Molecule: long non-coding RNA, 1329 nt
Organism: Bombyx mori (domestic silkworm)
Lineage: Eukaryota; Metazoa; Arthropoda; Insecta; Lepidoptera; Bombycidae
Exons: 3
Source: RefSeq, a predicted model, not a curated record